UACGGGGGGAGCAAGCGUUGUCCGGAUUUACUGGGCGUAAAGAGCGCGCAGGCGGUCGAUCAAGUCGCGUGUGAAAGCCCCCGGCUCAACUGGGGAGGGUCACGCGAUACUGAUCGACUCGAAGGCAGGAGAGGGUAGUGGAAUUCCCGGUGUAGUGGUGAAAUGCGUAGAUAUCGGAAGGAACACCAGUGGCGAAGGCGACUACCUGGCCUGUUUCUUGACGCUGAGGCGCGAAAGCUAGGGGAGCAAACGGG
Molecule: ribosomal RNA, 254 nt
Filed under: uncultured bacterium
Lineage: Bacteria
Description: partial 16S ribosomal RNA
Rfam family: Bacterial small subunit ribosomal RNA
Source: RNAcentral